Molecule: long non-coding RNA, 411 nt
Organism: Tachysurus fulvidraco (yellow catfish)
Lineage: Eukaryota; Metazoa; Chordata; Actinopteri; Siluriformes; Bagridae
Exons: 2
Source: RefSeq, a predicted model, not a curated record
AUUGUCUUGAACAACCCACAAUUCUGGUUUGCUUCAUUACCUUAUUUUUUUAGAAAAUUAAAUUCUAAAUGCUAAUCAUUCUUUAGCUUUUAACCUACAUGCACCAAACACAGGUCCCAUUCCCUGGUGCCCAGCCCUCAUAGCAGAUUAUUGAUCCAACAACCCAGAACCAGACACGCUGGGCGCAGUCGUGACGCAGGCCGAGCCACACGUAUUCAGUGGAGGCGUUUUGAGUCACUUCCUUCACCCAGAGCUGCAUCUCCUCGGUGCGCACUGACACCAGGUCAUGAUGAUGGUUCCUGCAGUAUGUCAGAGCUUCCCACCAGGUCAGAUUCUCCUUAAACAGGAUCAGUUUAUCUGGAUAAAAGAGGCAGCAUUCAAUAAAAGCUAAAGUGAACAGUUACAAUCCAA